RNAcentral lists this transfer RNA (63 nucleotides) under Anisocentropus kawamurai. RNAcentral describes it as "tRNA-Ile". Lineage: Eukaryota; Metazoa; Arthropoda; Insecta; Trichoptera; Calamoceratidae. The record is from RNAcentral.
AAUAAAGUGCCUGAUUAAAGGAUUAUUUUGAUAGAAUAAAACAAGUAUACUAUACCUUUAUUA